GAUGAAGAACGUAGCGAAAUGCGAUAAGUAAUGUGAAUUGCAGAAUCCAGUGAAUCAUCGAAUCUUUGAACGCACAUUGCGCCCGCCAGCAUUCUGGCGGGCAUGCCUGUUCGAGCGUCAUUUCAACCCUCGACCUCCCUUUGGGGAAGUCGGCGUUGGGGACCGGCAGCACACCGCCGGCCCUGAAAUGGAGUGGCGGCCCGUCCGCGGCGACCUCUGCGUAGUAAUCCAACUCGCACCGGAACCCCGACGCGGCCACGCCGUAAAACACCCAACUUCUGAACGUUGACCUCGAAUCAGGUAGGACUCCCCGCUGAACUUAAGCAUAUCAAUAAGCGGAGGA
RNAcentral lists this unclassified non-coding RNA (343 nucleotides) under soil metagenome. RNAcentral's name for it is "partial contains 5.8S ribosomal RNA, internal transcribed spacer 2, and large subunit ribosomal RNA". The stretch from base 1 to 120 matches the Rfam family "5.8S ribosomal RNA", at positions 35 to 154 of the family's 154-position model. The record is from RNAcentral.